CAAUAAUUUUUAAGUACAAUUUUUUGUAUACAGAAUUUUAAUAAAUAGUUUUAAAAACAUGUAUAAUGUGUUUUCAAAGAUAUAUGAUAAACUCCAUUAUAAAUGGACUAUAAAUAUGCGUUUUGAACUAAAUAUGUAAACAAGAAAUAUAUGUGAACAUUUAAUAUAGUUACCAGCACUAAACGAUACCAAAUGAAAAGGAUUUUAUUUAAAUAAUACAAAAUAUGAAUGAACAAAAAAUGGAAUACCUUAAUAUGAAUUAUCCUCAUGUCAGAAAUAAUUUAGAAAUUAUCGAAGGUCAAGAUAAUAACCAUACAAUAAUAAGAUGUAUAGCGGAAGAUCCAUUCAUUAGUAUAUUACAAAACUAAUUAAUAUGUAAAUUUAUCUAGUUAUAAUAAUAAAAUGUUAUUUUCUAUA
Daktulosphaira vitifoliae (grape phylloxera) is the source of this 417-nucleotide long non-coding RNA. RefSeq lists it as uncharacterized. The record is from RefSeq and is a predicted model, not a curated record. Lineage: Eukaryota; Metazoa; Arthropoda; Insecta; Hemiptera; Phylloxeridae. The transcript has 2 exons.